AGAUUAAGUUAUUAAGGGCGCACGGUGAAUACCUUGGCACUAGAAGCCGAAGAAGGACGUUACUAACGACGAUAUGCUUUGGGGAGCUGUAAGUAAGCUGUGAUCCAGAGAUUUCCGAAUGGGGAAACCCAGCACGAGUUAUGUCGUGUUAUCUGCAUGUGAAUACAUAGCAUGUAAGAAGGCAGACCCGGAGAACUGAAACAUCUUAGUACCCGGAGGAAGAGAAAGAAAAAUCGAUUCCCUGAGUAGCGGCGAGCGAAACGGGAAGAGCCCAAACCAACAAGCUUGCUUGUUGGGGUUGUAGGACACUCUAUACGGAGUUACAAAGGCACAU
This 334-nucleotide ribosomal RNA is filed under the name Staphylococcus microti. Its description in RNAcentral is "bacterial LSU rRNA". It matches the Rfam family "Bacterial large subunit ribosomal RNA", at positions 1 to 334 of the family's 2925-position model. The record is from RNAcentral. Lineage: Bacteria; Bacillati; Bacillota; Bacilli; Caryophanales; Staphylococcaceae.